This 253-nucleotide ribosomal RNA is filed under the name uncultured bacterium. RNAcentral describes it as "partial 16S ribosomal RNA". It matches the Rfam family "Bacterial small subunit ribosomal RNA", at positions 524 to 776 of the family's 1533-position model. The record is from RNAcentral.
UACGGGGGGGGCAAGCGUUGUUCGGAAUUACUGGGCGUAAAGGGCUCGUAGGCGGCUUGCUAAGUCAGACGUGAAAGCCCUCGGCUCAACCGGGGAACGGCGUCUGAGACUGGCAAGCUGGAAUCCGGGAGAGGGAUGCGGAAUUCCAGGUGUAGCGGUGAAAUGCGUAGAUAUCUGGAGGAACACCGGUGGCGAAGGCGGCAUCCUGGACCGGCAUUGACGCUGAGGAGCGAAAGCCAGGGGAGCAAACGGG